GAGUCUGUAGCUCAGUGGUAAAGCACUUGCCUCGCAUGCAUGAGGCACUGAGUUCAAUCCUCAGCAUCA
RNAcentral lists this transfer RNA (69 nucleotides) under Ictidomys tridecemlineatus (thirteen-lined ground squirrel). RNAcentral describes it as "Spermophilus tridecemlineatus (thirteen-lined ground squirrel) tRNA". It matches the Rfam family "tRNA". Rfam says of the family: Transfer RNA (tRNA) molecules are approximately 80 nucleotides in length. Their secondary structure includes four short double-helical elements and three loops (D, anti-codon, and T loops). Further hydrogen bonds mediate the characteristic L-shaped molecular structure. tRNAs have two regions of fundamental functional importance: the anti-codon, which is responsible for specific mRNA codon recognition, and the 3' end, to which the tRNAs corresponding amino acid is attached (by aminoacyl-tRNA synthetases). tRNAs cope with the degeneracy of the genetic code in two manners: having more than one tRNA (with a specific anti-codon) for a particular amino acid; and 'wobble' base-pairing, i.e. permitting non-standard base-pairing at the 3rd anti-codon position. Lineage: Eukaryota; Metazoa; Chordata; Mammalia; Rodentia; Sciuridae. The record is from Rfam by way of RNAcentral.